UGCAGUCGAACGGUGAAGCCNAGCUUGCUUGGUGGAUCAGUGGCGAACGGGUGAGUAACACGUGAGCAACCUGCCCUGGACUCUGGGAUAAGCGCUGGAAACGGCGUCUAAUACUGGAUAUGANACGUGAUCGCAUGGUCNNGUUUGGAAAGAUUUUUCGGUCUGGGAUGGGCUCGCGGCCUAUCANCUUGNUGGUGAGGUAAUGGCUCACCAANGNGUCNACNGGUAGCCGGNCUGANAGGGUGACCGGNCACNCUGGGACUGANACACGGCCCANACUCCUACNGGAGGCAGCAGUGGGGAAUAUUGCACNAUGGGCGAAAGCCUGAUGCANCAACNCCNCGUGAGGGAUGACNGNCUUCNGGUUGUAAACCUCUUUUAGCAGGGAAGAAGCGAAAGUGACGGUACCUGCAGAAAAAGCGCCGGCUAACUACGUGCCAGCACCGCGGUAAUACGUAGGGCGCAAGCGUUAUCCGGAAUUAUUGGGCGUAAAGAGCUCGUAGGCGGUUUGUCGCGUCUGCUGUGAAAUCCCGAGGCUCAACCUCCGGCCUGCAGUGGGUACGGGCAGACUAGAGUGCGGUAGGGGAGAUUGGAAUUCCUGGUGUA
This 606-nucleotide ribosomal RNA is filed under the name Microbacterium sp. at5V. RNAcentral describes it as "partial 16S ribosomal RNA". It matches the Rfam family "Bacterial small subunit ribosomal RNA", at positions 56 to 677 of the family's 1533-position model. Lineage: Bacteria; Bacillati; Actinomycetota; Actinomycetes; Micrococcales; Microbacteriaceae. The record is from RNAcentral.